AACAGACUCAGAGGCCCAGUUAUAGUGGUGAGUUGUAUCUCCAGACUCCAGUGGUGUUUUAACAUGUAUUUGUUUUAAACAUGAGCUGGUUAAAAAGAGCUGGUUAAAAAGGAGGGAGACCAUGUUUCUUCACUCACUGGUACAGUAACGUUUGGGAAUCUCUGUACUAUAGUGUACUACUGAUGUUAUACACUGCAGGUUAGGUUAAGGUUAGGAAAGAGGUUAGGGUUUGCGGAAAUGCUCUCCUAACCUGCUACAAAAAUCACUUCCGGUCGUAGCUGUAUCAAGUGUCAAAGAUGGCAACAUUCUCUAAUAACUACAUGUCUAAUUCUGUCAUGCUUCUCAAAGUUGAUAACUAGCUUAUUCAUUUUUUCUUCAGUGAUUAAAUUCAGUAAGAUAUCAUCAUUUACUAAUUGAAAGAAUUAUAUUUACAUGUACUAAAAUACAUGAUUUUAACAGGUCAGUUCAUCUCGAUACUUCAAAACUCCUAAGAACUUCACAAAUCCAGUGUGUGGGUCUUCCAGUGAGUUGGAGAGGAUUGAGGAACCAUGGCAUAGAUGGAAACCUUGAUAUGGACUAUAACUAUUGUAUUGGUGCAUGUAAGCAUUGGAUGCUGUAUUGCAUGUGGUAGAGCCGAGUACAGAAUAGGGGAUGAAUGUUGUCUCAUGUGUUGGCCAGGAUAUCAUGUGCAUAGUCAUUGUACUAAAUCUACAAGUAUACCUUCCUGUGUGCCCUGUAUUGACUCCACGUUCCUUGAUGAGCCCAGUGGUAAAACAACAUGCAACAACUGUACCACAUGUGAUCCAGGUUUGAAGGUAAAGCAGCCAUGUACACCUUCAUCAGACACUGUCUGUGGGACACUGGAGGGGUUCUACUGUCUAGACCCAACUAAGGAUGGUUGUAGAGCAGCCCAGAGACACAGCAGCUGUAAACCUGGUCAAUACAUCAGUCACACAGGAACAGCAUCUACAGAUACUGUGUGUGCUGACUGCCCUGGUGAUACUUAUUCAAAUGGAUCAUUUACAGCCUGCCAGCCACACACCGAGUAAGU
Salvelinus sp. IW2-2015 is the source of this 1051-nucleotide non-coding RNA. The record is from RefSeq and is a predicted model, not a curated record. Lineage: Eukaryota; Metazoa; Chordata; Actinopteri; Salmoniformes; Salmonidae.